GGUAAACAAUGGUCAGUAAAUUAGUGAACACGGUGUCAGAGGCUGUCUCAAAACAUAAUCCAAACCACUUGUCUGGGAUAGAGAAGUAAAAUAAAUGUUAGUGAUUCACGGCAAUAUUGGUACUACUCUGCGCACGACUAGUAAAUCGCAUCUAAGAGAAAAUUUUGUUUCUCCAACGAUGAGUUAGAAGUCAAUGAACAGACGAAUAAAGCAUUUGGAGGCCAUGAUUUUAAUUCACCCAGAAAUAAGCCUUAGAUACCCAAUAAUGUCUAAUUCACACACACUUAUCUAAUCCACACAGGGGAUUAUACUUAUAAUGUUUUUCAAAACUGAAAUAUAUUAUGAUGUACCACAUACACGGAACUGGGAAGUGGAGCCAACGCAUUGACAAAUUUUCAGACGUUGACUUUCUUGGAGAUAAUUCUACCGACUCAGAUGAAGCCAUACAAUAUUGGAGAGAAUUAUGAAACUUAAAGGUAAUACAAUUUUGCUGACCAAGAAUCCAAUUUUAACAACGCAGAGGGCCUCAACAUAUUUAAAUUGCAAAGAAACACAUGACUAGUUAUUGGACAUUGGUAUCUUUUCUGAAGGGAAAGUGCAUCUAGUUGGAUGCGUUAAACAGGUAAAGAUUGAAUGUUCCCAGUUGUUUUCAAAUACGUCGGGAAAAACAAAAAGAUUAUAUUUUUGACAAAAAUUGAUGUUGUUUUGCUGGUGUAACUAAUAAAAUAUCUAGGUGUAGAUACAUGAUUUGUUCGUCCGAAUGUUCCUAUUAGCAUUUUCUAUACAAUUUUUAGAACAAUUUCAC
This 805-nucleotide long non-coding RNA is filed under the name Acyrthosiphon pisum (pea aphid). RNAcentral describes it as "uncharacterized LOC107882365, transcript variant X1". Lineage: Eukaryota; Metazoa; Arthropoda; Insecta; Hemiptera; Aphididae. The record is from RNAcentral.